AGCGAACGCUGGCGGCAGGCUUAACACAUGCAAGUCGAACGCCCCGCAAGGGGAGUGGCAGACGGGUGAGUAACACGUGGGAACGUACCCUUUGGUUCGGAAUAACUUGGGGAAACUCAAGCUAAUACCGGAUAAGCCCUUAUGGGGAAAGGUUUACUGCCGAAGGAUCGGCCCGCGUCUGAUUAGCUAGUUGGUGAGGUAAUGGCUCACCAAGGCGACAAUCAGUAGCUGGUCUGAGAGGAUGAUCAGCCACACUGGGACUGAGACACGGCCCAGACUCCUACGGGAGGCAGCAGUGGGGAAUAUUGGACAAUGGGGGCAACCCUGAUCCAGCCAUGCCGCGUGAGUGAUGAAGGCCUUAGGGUUGUAAAGCUCUUUUACCCGGGACGAUAAUGACUGUACCGGAAGAAUAAGCCCCGGCUAACUUCGUGCCAGCAGCCGCGGUAA
This 447-nucleotide ribosomal RNA is filed under the name uncultured bacterium. RNAcentral's name for it is "partial 16S ribosomal RNA". It matches the Rfam family "Bacterial small subunit ribosomal RNA", at positions 29 to 523 of the family's 1533-position model. The record is from RNAcentral.